GCAAGUCGAACGAUGAUUAUCUAGCUUGCUAGAUAUGAUUAGUGGCGGACGGGUGAGUAACAUUUAGGAAUCUGCCUAGUAGUGGGGGAUAGCUCGGGGAAACUCGAAUUAAUACCGCAUACGACCUACGGGUGAAAGGGGGCGCAAGCUCUUGCUAUUAGAUGAGCCUAAAUCAGAUUAGCUAGUUGGUGGGGUAAAGGCCCACCAAGGCGACGAUCUGUAACUGGUCUGAGAGGAUGAUCAGUCACACCGGAACUGAGACACGGUCCGGACUCCUACGGGAGGCAGCAGUGGGGAAUAUUGGACAAUGGGGGCAACCCUGAUCCAGCCAUGCCGCGUGUGUGAAGAAGGCCUUUUGGUUGUAAAGCACUUUAAGCAGGGAGGAGAGGCUAAUGGUUAAUACCCAUUAGAUUAGACGUUACCUGCAGAAUAAGCACCGGCUAACUCUGUGCCAGCAGCCGCGGUAAUACAGAGGGUGCGAGCGUUAAUCGGAAUUACUGGGCGUAAAGCGAGUGUAGGUGGCUCAUUAAGUCACAUGUGAAAUCCCCGGGCUUAACCUGGGAACUGCAUGUGAUACUGGUGGUGCUAGAAUAUGUGAGAGGGAAGUAGAAUUCCAGGUGUAGCGGUGAAAUGCGUAGAGAUCUGGAGGAAUACCGAUGGCGAAGGCAGCUUCCUGGCAUAAUAUUGACACUGAGAUUCGAAAGCGUGGGUAGCAAACAGGAUUAGAUACCCUGGUAGUCCACGCCGUAAACGAUGUCUACUAGCCGUUGGGGUCCUUGAGACUUUAGUGGCGCAGUUAACGCGAUAAGUAGACCGCCUGGGGAGUACGGCCGCAAGGUUAAAACUCAAAUGAAUUGACGGGGGCCCGCACAAGCGGUGGAGCAUGUGGUUUAAUUCGAUGCAACGCGAAGAACCUUACCUGGUCUUGACAUAGUGAGAAUCCUGCAG
Molecule: ribosomal RNA, 948 nt
Filed under: Faucicola osloensis
Lineage: Bacteria; Pseudomonadati; Pseudomonadota; Gammaproteobacteria; Moraxellales; Moraxellaceae
Description: bacterial SSU rRNA
Rfam family: Bacterial small subunit ribosomal RNA
Source: RNAcentral